This 487-nucleotide ribosomal RNA is filed under the name uncultured bacterium. Its description in RNAcentral is "partial 16S ribosomal RNA". It matches the Rfam family "Bacterial small subunit ribosomal RNA", at positions 355 to 858 of the family's 1533-position model. The record is from RNAcentral.
UGGGGAAUAUUGGACAAUGGGCGCAAGCCUGAUCCAGCCAUGCCGCGUGAGUGAUGAAGGCCUUAGGGUUGUAAAGCUCUUUCGCCGACGAAGAUAAUGACGGUAGUCGGAGAAGAAGCCCUGGCUAACUUCGUGCCAGCAGCCGCGGUAAUACGAAGGGGGCUAGCGUUGUUCGGAAUCACUGGGCGUAAAGCGCACGUAGGCGGAUUGUUAAGUCAGGGGUGAAAGCCUGGAGCUCAACUCCAGAACUGCCCUUGAUACUGGCAAUCUCGAGUCCGGAAGAGGUAAGUGGAACUGCGAGUGUAGAGGUGAAAUUCGUAGAUAUUCGCAAGAACACCAGUGGCGAAGGCGGCUUACUGGUCCGGUACUGACGCUGAGGUGCGAAAAGCGUGGGGAGCAAAACAGGAUUAGAUACCCUGGUAGUCCACGCCGUAAACGAUGGAGGCUAGCCGUUGGCGAGCAUGCUCGUCAGUGGCGCAGCUAACGC